Molecule: ribosomal RNA, 228 nt
Filed under: Symbiodinium sp. Mp
Lineage: Eukaryota; Dinophyceae; Suessiales; Symbiodiniaceae
Description: partial Eukaryotic large subunit ribosomal RNA
Rfam family: Eukaryotic large subunit ribosomal RNA
Source: RNAcentral
GUGGUCAUGGAAGUCGAAAUCCGCUAAGGAGUGUGUAACAACUCACCUGCCGAAUGAACUAGCCCGGAAAAUGGAUGGCGCUGAAGCGAGCGACUUAUACUCAACCACUAAGGCAAGUGCGAAGCCUUAGUGAGUAGGAGGGCGUGGAGGUUGUGGCGCAUCUUGCGGCGUGAGCCGGAGUGAAACAGCCUCUAGUGCAGAUCUUGGUGGUAGUAGCAAAUAUUCAAA